ACAAGCGGUGGAGCAUGUGGUUUAAUACGUCACUAACCGUAGAACCUUACCCAGGCUUGACAUCUGGGGAAUCCUGGUGAAAGCCGGAGUGCUUCGUAAGAAGAACCCCAAGACAGGUGUUGCAUGGCUGUCGUCAGCUCGUGUCGUGAGAUGUUGGGUUAAGUCCCGCAACGAGCGCAACCCUCAUCCGAUGUUGCCAGCGUAAAGUCGGGAACUCUUCGGAAACUGCCCGUGUAAGCGGGAGGAAGGUGGGGAUGACGUCAAGUCAGUAUGGCCCUUACGCCUGGGGCUACACACAUGCUACAAUGGACGUUAACAAUGGGCAGCAAUACCGCGAGGUGGAGCUAAUCUCAAAAAUACGUCCUCAGUUCGGAUUGUAGUCUGCAACUCGACUACAUGAAGUCGGAAUCGCUAGUAACCGCAGGUCAGCUAAACUGCGGUGAAUACGUUCCCGGGCCUU
RNAcentral lists this ribosomal RNA (460 nucleotides) under uncultured Armatimonadota bacterium. RNAcentral's name for it is "bacterial SSU rRNA". It matches the Rfam family "Bacterial small subunit ribosomal RNA", at positions 925 to 1382 of the family's 1533-position model. Lineage: Bacteria; Bacillati; Armatimonadota. The record is from RNAcentral.